This 141-nucleotide small RNA is filed under the name Siansivirga zeaxanthinifaciens CC-SAMT-1. Its description in RNAcentral is "Flavo-1 RNA". It matches the Rfam family "Flavo-1 RNA". Lineage: Bacteria; Pseudomonadati; Bacteroidota; Flavobacteriia; Flavobacteriales; Flavobacteriaceae. The record is from Rfam by way of RNAcentral.
UUGUGUUAAGGAUAGAAGUGGCAUCCUUUUUAAAACUUAUAAAAACCAACUAUUGCUGUAACAACAGAACCGCAUUUACCACGAUACUUUGGCUUGUACUGUACUUGUUUUAAAAAGAUAUAACGGAUAGCCUGACUUUUG